This 429-nucleotide ribosomal RNA is filed under the name Bacteroidota bacterium. Its description in RNAcentral is "Bacteroidetes bacterium partial 16S ribosomal RNA". It matches the Rfam family "Bacterial small subunit ribosomal RNA", at positions 355 to 776 of the family's 1533-position model. Lineage: Bacteria; Pseudomonadati; Bacteroidota. The record is from RNAcentral.
UAGGGAAUCUUCGGCAAUGGGGGGAACCCUGACCGAGCAACGCCGCGUGAGUGAAGAAGGUUUUCGGAUCGUAAAGCUCUGUUGUUAAGGAAGAACGAGUGUGAGAAUGGAAAGUUCAUGCUGUGACGGUACUUAACCAGAAAGGGACGGCUAACUACGUGCCAGCAGCCGCGGUAAUACGUAGGUCCCGAGCGUUGUCCGGAUUUAUUGGGCGUAAAGCGAGCGCAGGCGGUUAGAAAAGUCUGAAGUGAAAGGCAGUGGCUCAACCAUUGUAGGCUUUGGAAAAUGUUUAAGUUGAGGGCAGAAGGGGAGAGUGGAAGUCCAUGUGUAGCGGUGAAAUGAGUAAGUAUAUGGAGGAACACCGGUGGCGAAAGCGGCUCUCUGGUCUGUAACUGACGCUGAGGGUCGGAAGCGGGGGGAGCGAACAGG